CAGAAGCCGCCUUUCUUUCCUUCCCCCCUUUUUUUCCUUUAUCCCGGUGGGGGGGGGGAGUCUCCUUUGUAAAUUUCCAACGGAAGGAUCGCAACAGCAAACGGCGCUUUUAGGAAGCGAAGGUCCAAGGCAGCAGCAUCGCACCAAAGUGGGUCGGGGAGAACGAGCGAGAGAAGGGGGGGAGAACGAGCGAGGGGGGCGGGAUAUGGAGACGCUGCCUCGCAGGGUUUGGGGAGGAAGGUGCGUCGGGGGAGCGGUGGCGGGGAAGGGGGGGAGGAAGGCAAAAGAGAGAGGCUCGAGUCCAGCGCAAGGGAGGUUCAGCUGGAAGGGCAAGGAGCGGCGAAGGCGGCUGCUUCCUCCAUCAAGCCCGGCGAGCGAGAGACAGAGCAGGGAGGGGGCCGCCCGUUCAAGCAACAGAUGAGCAGGAGGAGCGCGCCGGGCGCAGGAGGAGCGGCGUGCGCUUUCGAGGGAGAAGGGCUUCCUCGGGCGAUGCGGAGCCUCCAAGGCCGCUCGCUUGAGUCCAGGCGAGUUCAGUUCCUCCGGGCUCCAGCGAGGAGCGAAUUAAUCCCAGGAAGAGCGUCCAGGCGCAGCGGGAACCCGGCGCUAAAGGGCCCGGAGGUGGCGAUGGAGACGCGCGGCUGGCGCUGGCAUGAUCGCCCUCCUCUCUUCUCGCGCUCUCCACGCCGCCGGCACGCACCUGAGGCAGAGGCUGGGCUGCUCAGCCGGCGGCCAGGCAGGUAGCGCGCGCGCGCUUCUCUCGCGCUCUUCCACACACCUAGCACCUGCUGCUGCUGCUGCUGCUUCUCCUUCUCCUGCUGCGCUCGUGCCGCCCCGAGCGGGCGCCGCCUCUCUCUGGGGACCCGGCGGGAUGGCAACAUGCUGAGGAGGAGGAGGAGGAGGAAACGGCGGCGGCGGCAGCGGCGGCCGCCACUCUCUGCCUCGCUGCCCUCUCGUCACCCAGCCCCGCGAGCGAAGAGCGACUGACACACGCGCGCGCGCUCGCACACAGACCCACACACAGUGAGAGAGAGAGAGGGAGAGGGAGAGCCCGCCAGGCGAGCCGGCUGCACCUCAGGGAGGGGGUGGGCGGGGAGGGAGGAGGAGGAGGAGGGGCCGGGCCGGCGAGCGGAGGGGGGAAGAGGGCGGGGCCUCGGGCAGCACCUUACACGAGAGGAGGAGGAGGAGCGCGCCAGCCGGGCUUGCCUUGCCUUCCCGCCUGGCUGGCUGCACGCAGAGUCUCGUCGGCUCUCUGCCCGGCUGCACAAGUCUGGACGCUCCAGCCAAACCACAUGAUCACAACACGAGCGGGCGCCGGGCUUCCCCCUUCGCUGCCGUCGCGCGAGCUGCAGGGCGGGGGGCGACGCCACCGACCGACGGCACCUUGGCAGCGCUCAGGCCCGCUCAGGACUUCGCCUUGCCCGCUCCUGCCCCGCCACCGCAGCACGUCCCGCCGAAGGUCUCUCUCUCGCGCGCGCCACACUUCUCACAAGCAGGAGUGCUGGCAUUUCUGA
Molecule: long non-coding RNA, 1511 nt
Filed under: Podarcis muralis (Common wall lizard)
Lineage: Eukaryota; Metazoa; Chordata; Lepidosauria; Squamata; Lacertidae
Description: lncRNA (ENSPMRG00000015752.1)
Source: RNAcentral